GAUGAAGAACGUAGCGAAACGCGAUAAGUAAUGUGAAUUGCAGAAUUCAGUGAAUCAUCGAAUCUUUGAACGCACAUUGCGCCCGCCAGUAUUCUGGCGGGCAUGCCUGUUCGAGCGUCAUUACAACCCUCAGGCCCCCGGGCCUGGCGUUGGGGAUCGGCGGAAGCCCCCUGCGGGCACAACGCCGUCCCCCAAAUACAGUGGCGGUCCCGCCGCAGCUUCCAUUGCGUAGUAGCUAACACCUCGCAACUGGAGAGCGGCGCGGCCACGCCGUAAAACACCCAACUUCUGAAUGUUGACCUCGAAUCAGGUAGGAAUACCCGCUGAACUUAAGCAUAUCAAUAAGCGGAGGA
Molecule: unclassified non-coding RNA, 353 nt
Filed under: soil metagenome
Description: partial contains 5.8S ribosomal RNA, internal transcribed spacer 2, and large subunit ribosomal RNA
Rfam family: 5.8S ribosomal RNA (bases 1-120)
Source: RNAcentral